This 225-nucleotide ribosomal RNA is filed under the name Triticum aestivum (bread wheat). Its description in RNAcentral is "partial small subunit ribosomal RNA". Lineage: Eukaryota; Viridiplantae; Streptophyta; Magnoliopsida; Poales; Poaceae. The record is from RNAcentral.
AUGGUCGAGGUAAACAACGGCACUGGGCUGAGCACGGUGGAGGCAGGCGGCGGCGCUGAGGCAGACAUGGGGGAGGUGGACAGCGGCGCUAUGGCAGCCACGGAGGAGGUGGACAGAGGCGCUAGGCCGGUCAUGGCGCACGUGGACGGCGGCGCUAGGCCGGCCAUGGCGGAGGUGGACGGCGGCGACGUGGCCAUGGCUGAGCCAUGCGGUGGCGAUCCCUAA